RNAcentral lists this ribosomal RNA (392 nucleotides) under uncultured bacterium. RNAcentral's name for it is "bacterial SSU rRNA". It matches the Rfam family "Bacterial small subunit ribosomal RNA", at positions 30 to 426 of the family's 1533-position model. The record is from RNAcentral.
AUUGAACGCUGGCGGCAUGCCUUACACAUGCAAGUCGAACGGCAACGGACCUUCGGGUGCCGGCGAGUGGCGAACGGGUGAGUAAUAUAUCGGAACGUACCUUUCAGUGGGGGAUAACGUAGCGAAAGUUACGCUAAUACCGCAUAUUCUGUGAGCAGGAAAGCAGGGGAUCGCAAGACCUUGCGCUGAUUGAGCGGCCGAUAUCAGAUUAGCUAGUUGGUGAGGUAAAGGCUCACCAAGGCGACGAUCUGUAGCGGGUCUGAGAGGAUGAUCCGCCACACUGGGACUGAGACACGGCCCAGACUCCUACGGGAGGCAGCAGUGGGGAAUUUUGGACAAUGGACGCAAGCCUGAUCCAGCCAUGCCGCGUGCGGGACGAAGGCCUCGGUUGU